GUGUGUGUGUGUGUGUGUGUGUGUGUGUAACGCCAAAAAUAAACCCUUUUACUUUGAACUUUAGAUGGCUACAAUAAAUAUCCGAACCAUGUCAAUCCUAGGUUUUAUGAAAAAGCCCAUCAUCACAAGAUCAAAACUAACAAGAUACCAUGCACUCUGAUUUCUAUAUAGAUUUAAACCUUACCAAGAAGGUCCCCUAUUUGGAUUCACAAGCACAUGUAGAGCCAUUAGUGGAUGGCUAAGGCCGAUGUGAGACAUAUAACCAUUACCAUUUUAGGACUAUGUGAUGAAAGAAGAUAGCCAUGACAUCUCAAUCAUUCUUUCUACUAAAUAUGUAUUUGGCUUUACGGACAAAUGCUACCUCCAAGACGAUCAAUAAAGUUUAUAUUUGUUUCAUAUUAAUCAAUAAAGUUUAAUGAUAACUGUGCAUAUUAACGUCGAUGUUGUUAAUACCGGUGUCCAAUUGGUCAAUUG
This 474-nucleotide long non-coding RNA is filed under the name Phoenix dactylifera (date palm). Its description in RNAcentral is "long non-coding RNA (PDAC_LNC009369)". Lineage: Eukaryota; Viridiplantae; Streptophyta; Magnoliopsida; Arecales; Arecaceae. The record is from RNAcentral.